GUAACAGCUCACUGGUCUAGUGGUUCCGCGCCGACAAUGUAGCGGGGCUCAAGCACACCACCGAAGACGCGGCAGUAGCUUUGCUACUGGGUAGGAGAGCGUCCCAUGCGGGGCGAAGCGGCGGCGCAAGCCCGCCGUGGACCGCAUGGGAGUGAGAAUGCAGACAUGAGUAGCGAAAGACGGGUGAAGAUCCCGUCCGCUGGACGACCAAGGGUUCCAGGGCCACGUUCAUCGUCCCUGGGUGAGUCGGGUCCUAAGGCGAGGCCGACAGGCGUAGUCGAAUGGAUGAACGGGUCGAUAUUCCCGUACCGGCAUGCAACCGACAAAACCGAAUCCGCGAGUACUAACCUCCGGGUCCGGGCUUACGUCUCCUUCGGGAGCCGGAUGCCCUGGCCUGUUGGGACCGUAACGGUAGUAGGUCAGCGCGGGAGUGACGCAGAAGGGUAGCCGGCCGCGGAGGUGGUCUUCCGUGGUCAAGCACGCAGCCCGUCCCACAGGCAAAUCCGUGGGGCGCGUGGGCGAGGUGCGAUGAUGGGCGCCGCAGGGCGCGAUAUCCGGUGAUCCCGGCUGCCGAGAAAAGCUUCGGCGUGAGGCGGCGUGCCGCCCGUACCCCAAACCGACACUGGUGGUCAGGUAGAGAAUACCAAAGCGAUCGAGCGAAUCCUGGUCAAGGAACUCGGCAAAUCACUCCCGUUCCUUCGGUUUAAGGGAGACCCCCGAUGGUGAAGCGGCUUGCCCGUGGAGCCUUUGGGGGUGGCACAGACCAGGGGGUAGCGACUGUUUACCAAAAACACAGGAGCGUGCGAAGGCGCAAGCCGCUGUAUACGCUCUGACGCCUGCCCGGUGCCGGAAGGUUAAGAGGAUCCGUCAGGCUUCGGCCGAAGCGGUGAAUUCAAGCCCCGGUAAACGGCGGUGGUAACUAUAACCAUCCUAAGGUAGCGAAAUUCCUUGUCGGGUAAGUUCCGACCUGCACGAAUGGCGUAACGACUUCCCCACUGUCUCGACCAGGAGCUCGGCGAAAUUGCAGUACGAGUAAAGAUGCUCGUUAAGCGCAGAAGGACGAAAAGACCCCGGGACCUUUACUAUACCUUGGUAUUGGCAUUCGGUGUGGAUUGUGUAGCAUAGGCGGAAGGCUUCGAAGCCACGGCGCCAGCCGCGGUGGAGCCGCAAGGUGAAAUACCGCUCUGUUCGCAUUGGAUGUCUAACCUCGACCAGUCAUCCUGGUCAGGGACAGUGCCUGGCGGGUAGUUUAACUGGGGCGGUUGCCUCCCAAAGAGUAACGGAGGCGCUCAAAGGUUCCCUCAGCCCGGUUGGCAAUCGGGUGGCGAGUGUAAGUGCACAAGGGAGCUUGACUGCGAGACUGACGGGUCGAGCAGGGACGAAAGUCGGAACUAGUGAUCC
RNAcentral lists this ribosomal RNA (1401 nucleotides) under human gut metagenome. RNAcentral describes it as "bacterial LSU rRNA". It matches the Rfam family "Bacterial large subunit ribosomal RNA", at positions 1134 to 2421 of the family's 2925-position model. The record is from RNAcentral.